CGGGAAUCAAUGAAAAAACGCCUCGAAGGAACUCAGUGUUGUUCCUUCAAAUAUGAAUCUAAAUUAUAAAACCAAACACAGACAAUCUCAAUCCUAAAACCAGGAGAGUCAGUUUUUGAAAUUGUUAGGGUUUCUUUGUAGUCCAUUAUUUGGGCUUAUGGAAGCUGCUCUUUCUAAUGGGGGACUAAUUCUCUCAGCCACAAUGGAGGAACUGAAAGUUUUUUCGUCGUUGUAAGUCGCUCUUCAUUCAUCUAACCAUCCAUGGCAAAAUUUGUGUUGAUGCUCGACAUAUUUGGAAACAAACCAACAUCCAUCAGUUUGCAGAACCAACUCCAAGGGGUCUUUGCAGUGAACAUUUCGUAUAAAUAUAUGUUUCCUUCAGAUGAACCAAGGGGUCUUUGCAGCGACUGAACAAUUCAUAUAAAUAAGUGUUUCAUUCAGAUUCUUGGUAUUCCUACUAUAAUAUGUUAGGCUACAUAUGGGAUGACUGCUCUCUUUGUCACACACACCAGCCUCAUUUUAAAAUACCUAUCCACUUUUUCGGAUCCAACAACAACAAUUAAGACAGUCUGAUGUUCACUGAAUUGCAACCAGGCACGGUUCUAUCACACUAGAAGUCAUGAUGCACAACAGAAAUUAAGAAUUCUCAACUAAUAUUACAACUCAGUGACAUUUGCAACCCUAUAUGCAGUUAACAAUUAACCUCUGUGUACCAGUUACAGGUACAUAUUUUUUAAUGGGUGUCCAUUGUUACGGAAGAAAAACCAACUCGAAACACAAUGAAGGAUAUGGUAAAUCUCUUUGUCUAAUCUUGCCGUGUAUUUCAAUAGUGUCGCUGGUGAUUUUGCAGCUGCUACGUAUCUGUUGCAAUUUUUUCUUCGCUCUCUCAGUCUCUGGCUAUCUCUCAUUUCUCUGGGACUGAGUCCUAAAAGAGUUACUGCUCGACAAAAUAAAGGGGUGACGCAAAAUACUUUUGUUAGUUUAUGCUUGCUAGCGAUAUUGAUCAAAUUAUGCUUAAAUUUUUUGAAAUUGUAUACUUUAAAAUACCCUUCUGCGUAAGUAUGUAUUUGAUUUCUUUAUUCCCAAAUAAGAGCUUUGUUGAGUUGUGUUAUAACAUUGUAGGAUUCAAUGCUUUUGUGAAGUUGUAAAGUUAAGCUUAGAAAGAUAUAGGCAUGUUAAAACGGAUCAUCACUUGAACAUUUUUGAGGUCUAAAUUUGUAAUCUUAUUUUUAAAUGCAUUUAGAAUUGUUGUUA
This is a long non-coding RNA of Papaver somniferum (opium poppy), 1254 nucleotides long. RefSeq lists it as uncharacterized. NCBI's taxonomy places the organism in Eukaryota, Viridiplantae, Streptophyta, Magnoliopsida, Ranunculales, Papaveraceae. The transcript has 5 exons. The record is from RefSeq and is a predicted model, not a curated record.